RNAcentral lists this ribosomal RNA (467 nucleotides) under uncultured bacterium. RNAcentral describes it as "partial 16S ribosomal RNA". It matches the Rfam family "Bacterial small subunit ribosomal RNA", at positions 29 to 507 of the family's 1533-position model. The record is from RNAcentral.
ACGAACGCUGGCGGCGUGCUUAACACAUGCAAGUCGAACGGAAAGGCCCUGCUUUUGUGGGGUGUUCGAGUGGCGAACGGGUGAGUAACACGUGAGUAACCUGCCCUUGACUUUGGGAUAACUUCAGGAAACUGGGGCUAAUACCGGAUAGGAGCUCCUGCUGCAUGGUGGGGGUUGGAAAGUUUCGGCGGUUGGGGAUGGACUCGCGGCUUAUCAGCUUGUUGGUGGGGUAGUGGCUUACCAAGGCUUUGACGGGUAGCCGGCCUGAGAGGGUGACCGGCCACAUUGGGACUGAGAUACGGCCCAGACUCCUACGGGAGGCAGCAGUGGGGAAUAUUGCACAAUGGGCGGAAGCCUGAUGCAGCAACGCCGCGUGCGGGAUGACGGCCUUCGGGUUGUAAACCGCUUUCGCCUGUGGCGAAGCGUGAGUGACGGUAAUGGGUAAAGAAGCACCGGCUAACUACGUG